CGGGGAAUCUUCCGCAAUGGACGAAAGUCUGACGGAGCAACGCCGCGUGGGUGACGAAGGUUUUCGGAUCGUAAAACCCUGUCAAGAAGGAAGAAAAAAGACGGUACUUCUGAAGGAAGCCCCGGCUAACUACGUGCCAGCAGCCGCGGUAAUACGUAGGUGGCAAGCGUUGUCCGGAAUUAUUGGGCGUAAAGGGUACGUAGGCUGCAUCAUAAGUCGGGCGUGAAAGGCAGGGGCUCAACCCCUGGAGCGCGCUUGAUACUGUGAUGCUAGAGUCAUGGAGGGGGAACCGGAACUCUCGGUGUAGCAGUGAAAUGCGUAGAUAUCGAGAAGAACACUCGUGGCGAAGGCGGGUUCCUGGACAUGUACUGACGCUGAGGCUCGAAAGCUAGGGUAGCGAACG
This 403-nucleotide ribosomal RNA is filed under the name uncultured bacterium. RNAcentral describes it as "bacterial SSU rRNA". It matches the Rfam family "Bacterial small subunit ribosomal RNA", at positions 355 to 774 of the family's 1533-position model. The record is from RNAcentral.